RNAcentral lists this ribosomal RNA (505 nucleotides) under uncultured bacterium. RNAcentral describes it as "partial 16S ribosomal RNA". It matches the Rfam family "Bacterial small subunit ribosomal RNA", at positions 29 to 507 of the family's 1533-position model. The record is from RNAcentral.
ACGAACGCUGGCGGCGUGCUUAACACAUGCAAGUCGAACGGUGAAGGGACUGGUUUUGCUGGUCCUGGAUGAGUGGCGAACGGGUGAGUAACACGUGAGUAACCUGCCCCCUUCUUCUGGAUAACCGCAUGAAAGUGUGGCUAAUACGGGAUAUUCUGGGUCUGUCGCAUGGUGGGCCUGGGAAAGAUUGCGCCUUUUUUGGUGUUUUUGGUGGGGGAUGGGCUCGCGGCCUAUCAGCUUGUUGGUGGGGUGAUGGCCUACCAAGGCGGUGACGGGUAGCCGGCCUGAGAGGGUGGACGGUCACACUGGGACUGAGACACGGCCCAGACUCCUACGGGAGGCAGCAGUGGGGAAUAUUGCACAAUGGGCGCAAGCCUGAUGCAGCGACGCCGCGUGAGGGAUGGAGGCCUUCGGGUUGUGAACCUCUUUCGCCAGUGAAGCAGGCCUGCCUCUUUUUGUGGGUGGGUUGACGGUAGCUGGAUAAGAAGCGCUGGCUAACUACGUG